UCUCCCCCUGUGUCAGAGGGCCUGUUUCUGAAGAAGUAGUAUCUACUAGCAAGCAUGCUUCAAUGCAAUAUUAUGUUGUAUCGAAAUAACACACUGAACUAGCGACACGCCUUGGCUUCAUCGGAGCGUAACUUAUUAAUGAUGAAAAUGAUAUGACAUAAAUAUAAUUAAUAAUCAAGCACUCAA
Molecule: long non-coding RNA, 186 nt
Organism: Vanessa tameamea
Lineage: Eukaryota; Metazoa; Arthropoda; Insecta; Lepidoptera; Nymphalidae
Exons: 3
Source: RefSeq, a predicted model, not a curated record